This 253-nucleotide ribosomal RNA is filed under the name uncultured bacterium. RNAcentral's name for it is "partial 16S ribosomal RNA". It matches the Rfam family "Bacterial small subunit ribosomal RNA", at positions 524 to 776 of the family's 1533-position model. The record is from RNAcentral.
UACGGAGGGUGCAAGCGGUGUUCGGAAUUACUGGGCGUAAAGGGCGCGUAGGCGGUGUGGUAAGUCAGAUGUGAAAGCCCUGGGCUUAACCCAGGAAGUGCAUUUGAAACUACCAUGCUUGAGUAUGGGAGAGGAGAGUGGAAUUCCCAGUGUAGAGGUGAAAUUCGUAGAUAUUGGGAGGAACACCCGUGGCGAAGGCGACUCUCUGGACCAAUACUGACGCUGAGGCGCGAAAGCGUGGGGAGCAAACAGG